UCUUGCAACUAGAAUAUUCAAAUGAGGUUGUCAUAAAUUUCUAUUCAUAUGCAAAUGAGAGUCAUUAAUUCACCAUGAAUGUGUUUGCCAUUCUGGCAAGUAGUUUAUUGUUAACAAUGUUACAAGUAAGUUUUCUUUGCAUGAUUGAGAAAUGCAAAUGUAUGUCAGCAAUGCUGAUUAUGGUUUAUUUGUUCUAUCUUUAUAAAGGUUGAACGGUCGUCAGUUACACCAGUUUCACAAAAGGGUGCACUAUGUCAUUUGUCAGCAAUCGGGGUUUGCAGUUAAGAUAACCGUCACCACAUCAGUUCAACAACAGCUUCCAGUUGGACAACAGGUCACAGCCUACCUGCUACGAUGAGUUUUACCGGACCUAGCCCACCAUGCGUUGAUGAUGGGAUUCGACCAGAGGAUUCCGCUAGUCAGAGCGGAAGUGCGUCGUCGUCCGUCAGGCUGAAGGCGAUAGCAAGGAAGGCUGCAUUGGCUGCAGAGGCUGCAGCGUUGAAGCAGAGAUUGGCUCUGGAGAGGGAGGAGUUGGAUCUGAGACAGCGUAAGAUUCAGCUUGAUAUGGACACUCGAAUAAAGAUAGCUGAAGCUGAGGCAGAAGUAUACCUUUCUGCAGAAGAAGGACAUUUGGCUACAGAUGUCAAGGAUGUUCACGGGGCUCAAGCUAAGGUUGAUGAUGUUCUGCCUCAUCUAGUUGCUACCGAAAACUCCAAGGUGAGGGAAGAUGUCCGGGCUCCUCUAGGGGCUCACGCCAAGCCUGAUGAUUUCCUGCCUCGUCCAGAUGAUGGUAAUAACUCCAAGAUGAGGGAAGAAGUUACCCGUUCUUAUGAGCGACCAAGGGCAGUGGAUACUCAGGACUUACUACUUCAGAUAAUUGACAACAGCCAGAAGCAACAGAGAGAUUUGCUGGAAGGACUAUUUGUCCCUCAGACACAGAUUAUGACAUUUGAUGGAAGUCCUCUCAAGUUUUGGGAAUUUUGGAGGGCAUUUGAGAGCACUGUUGACUGCACCGGCAUACCUGAUAGUGCCAAGCUAACUCGGCUAUUACACUAUUGUGAAGGAGAUGCCCGCAAGAUCUUGCAGUCAUGUAGUAUUAUGCCACCAUCAGAAGGAUACAGGAGAGCAAAGGCACUUCUUCAUGGCCGAUUCGGAACUCCCUUCAUGAUUGCUGAUGCCUGGAUCAGGAAGGUGACUGGAGGGCCAAAGAUAACCGGACGAGAUAAGAGAAUGCUGCAAGAGCUAGCUGAUGAGUUACAGGUUUGUCUCCAGACUUUGGACGCUAUGGGGUAUACUAGUGAUUUAUCGCCACAACCUGUUCUCUUGCAGAUCGUUGAGAGGCUGCCACUUUACCUGCGGAGCAAAUGGGUGUCGGUGGUAGGCGGGAUUCGUCGCGAUGCUAGACUUCCGAAUAUAUUUGAUCUGGUUUCCUUCAUCCAGGCAAGGGCAGAUGAGGAGAACGACCCUGUCUUUGGAAAGCUGCUUGUCAAGGAGCAGAGUGCUAGAACCAGCCCACCGAUCAACAAAGCAUCACGAUCAAGGAGGAGUACCUUUUCUACCAGUGCAUCGGGUGAAGAGACGGCACCGUUGGUUUGUGUGAAAUGUAAGGAGUCACACACUCUGUUUGCUUGUAAUGCAUUCAAGCAAAUGCAGCCUGAAGAAAGAUUCAAGCUCGUUGUGGAGAACAAGCUGUGCUUCAAUUGUUUGGAGAAGGGGCACACAUCGAGAAACUGCCAGGUGAAAAGGGUGUGCUCCGUGCCAGGAUGCAAGAGGAAGCACACUAAGUUCCUCCAUCGGGACAAGAUGGAACAGCCUCGACAAGCCCAGGAGGGGGUUGGUGAACCUGCAUCUGAGAAGGUUGAGAGUUAUGCCACAGGGGCCGGUGGAAAUAAGAGGAUCCUACUACCCAUAGUUCCAAUCAGAGUUUAUGCAUCGGCCAAGGAUGAUGGCGUGGAGGCCCUGGCACUUUUGGACUCUGGUUCCACUAGCACAUUCUGCACGGAGGAAGUAGCGGAGAGGGUAAAGGCCCAUGGAUCAGCUAGCACGGUGUCUGUGUCAACUCUGGACAGGGCUAACAGUGAACUCCACACCACUGUCGUUAGUUUGAGGAUUGAGCCAAAGUCUUCGCCAAGAGUAGUGACUCUCCCUCGAGUGUACACCAAGGCCGACAUCAACAUAAGUGUAGACCACUUACUUUGUAGACGAGAUGUCGAUCAGUUUGCACAUCUUUCGGAUAUCCACUUUCCAAGCUCGAAUAAAGUCAAGGUGGAUAUUCUAAUUGGUCAAGACUAUCCUGAGCUACUGUGUCCUCUGGAGACAAGACGAGGUGAACCAGGAGAACCUUAUGCAGUAAGGACAGUACUAGGCUGGACGCUCAAUGGACCUGUCCAGGGAAAUGGUAAGAGGAUGCCAUUAAGUUCGCACUUCAUCUCAGAGGAAAUGUCACUCGACAAUCAGUGCAAGAUGUUUUGGUCCCUUGAGACCAGUGAUAUGUGUAACAUAAACACAGCUGCCAAGGGAAUGUCAGUUCAGGACCAGGAAGUGUUGAAGUUAUGGGAGGAUAAUGUGGUAAGGAGUGGAGGACAUUACCAGCUACCCAUACCAUUCAAGGAACAACCGCCACCCUUGAGUGACAACAGAUGGAUGGCUCAGCAGAGGCUUGAAUCCUUGAAAAGACGACUAAGCAAAGAUGAAUUGAUGCAUGCCAAGUAUUCACAAGGCAUGGCUGACCUUCUCGACAAGGGCUACGCUGAAGCAGUGGAUGAUUCUCUACCACUGGACGGAACUUGUUGGUAUUUACCGCAUCACCCUGUGGUUAACGAGAAGAAACCGGAGAAAGUUCGCAUCGUCUUCGACUGCGCCGCCAAAUCUGAUGGUGUAGGAUUAAAUGAUGUCGUCAGGCAAGGGCCAGACCUAACGAACAAGUUGUCGGGCGUAUUACUACGCUUUCGUCAAGCACCAGUAGCUAUCAUGGCCGAUGUGGAAGCCAUGUUCCAUCAAGUGAAGCUAGAUGCAGAUGAACGAGAUGUUCUUCGCUUCUUAUGGUGGCCAGGAGGGAAAUUGGAUGAAGCUCCCAGGACCUACAGGAUGUGUGUCCACCUGUUCGGGGGUACUUGGAGCCCCAGCUGUUGCUCAUUUGCCUUGCGGCAAACAGCUAAGGACUUUGGGGAUCAGUGCAAUACAGAAGCACCAAAGGUAGUAGAGCGAAAUUUCUACGUGGACGACUGUCUUGUAUCUGUGGAGAAUGAAGAUGACGCAAUCAAACUGUCGACAGAGCUUAGAGAACUGUUGCAGAAGGGAGGUUUUCGACUAGCUAAAUGGUUGAGCAACAGUCCAAGGGUUCUGCAAAGCAUACCAGUGUCUGAAAGAGCCAAGAAGGUUGCUGGGAUAGACUUGAACUUUGAGGCCCUCCCAGUGGAGCGAGCACUUGGUAUGAUAUGGGAUAUAGAGAUGGACAGCUUCAUCUACAAAAUUCAGCCCAAGCCCAAACCUUUGUCUCGAAGAGGGAUACUGAGUAUAGUCUCUUCAAUCUAUGACCCUUUGGGUUAUGCCAGCCCAUUUGUCCUGAGAGGAAAGAUGAUUCUACAGGAAUUGACGAGGAAGAAGCUGAGUUGGGAUGAGCCCAUUCCCGACAUUGAUGCCAAGAACUGGAGAGCUUGGAUCGAGGAACUUCCUGAGAUGGAGGGAUUCGGAGUACACAGAUGUAUCAAGCCUCAGAACUUCGGGAAGGUGACGGAGUAUACAAUUCACAACUUCUCUGAUGCAUCGGAAGUGGCCUAUGGUGCAGUAUCCUAUCUAGUGAUGAGGAAUGAAGAAGGGCAGGUGCAUAGCAGUCUCCUGAUGGCUAAGUCACGUCUUGCACCUAUAAAGACUGUUACCAUACCCCGUUUGGAGCUGAUGGCAGCAACGCUGGCUGUCAACAUGGAUAUUAUGGUCAGGGAAGAGCUGGACCUGCCGAUCAAGAUGUCAUACUUUUGGACUGACAGUAUGAUUGUUCUUCAUUAUAUCCGUAGUGAAGAUAGGAGGUUCAAAGUCUUUGUGUCCAACAGACUUGCGACAAUCCACCAAGCCACAGAGCUGAGCCAGUGGAGACACAUAGACACAAAGGUGAAUCCUGCAGAUGUUGUGUCUAGGGGUACGUCACCAAUGAAGCUGAAGAAUGACAAAGGAUGGCUUGAGGGACCAGACUUUAUACAGCUUCCGGAGGAACAAUGGCCAAAAUGUCCCUUUGAGAAAGAGGAGAUCAAUGAGGAUGAUCCAGAGCUAAAACCAACAAAGGUGCAGACAUUUGCUGUGAGUGAUGGUAGAGGGUGCAUUGAUAGAAUCCUAAUGCACUAUUCUGACUGGACAAGACUACGCAGAGCAGUAGCCUGGUGGCUUAAGCUGAAGGAGUACCUCAGAGGGAAAAGCAGAAACUCAGUGCCUGGAAAAUGCAGUAGCUUAAAACCAGAGGACUUGAAGUGUGCUGAGAAAGCAAUAUUUCAGCAUGUGCAGCAUGAAUCCUUCCCAGAGGAGUUGAAGCUACUGAAGGAGAUAGACGGAAUACCAGAGGGACGAGAAAGAGUUGUGAAAAAGGGGUCUAAGCUCGCAAAGAUGGAUCCGGUCUUCCAAGAUGGUCUUCUGAGAGUAGGGGGCAGACUCGGACGAGCCCAGAUCCCAGGCAGUGCGAAGCACCAGGUGAUAAUGCCCAGGCAACAUCAUGUAUCAACGUUGUUGGUACGAUAUGUACAUAAAAACAUUGGACAUCAAGGCCAAAAUCAUGUUUUGGCAGAACUCAGACAACAAUACUGGAUUCUUGGAGCAGGGGUUCUCGUGAGAGGCUUGGUAAGAAAGUGUGUUACCUGUCGUCGUUACCAGGCCAAGGUUGGUAAGCAGAAGAUGGCAGAUCUACCUGCCUACCGAGUAGCAGCUGGUGAGCCGGCCUUCACGAACGUUGGGAUGGACUUUUUCGGUCCAUUUGAGAUCAAGUGUGGACGCUCAGUGAGGAAAAGAUACGGUGUGGUGUUUACCUGUAUGGCCACCCGCGCUAUCCACAUCGAGGUCGCUGAUUCUCUCGAAACUAGCUCCUGCAUUGAUGCUAUUAGAAGGAUGAUGAGUAGAAGGGGGCCGAUAACGAAAUUGGUCUCUGACAACGGCACCAAUCUGGUUGGAGCUGAAGGUGAACUUAGGAAGGCUCUGAAAGAUUGGAACCAGGAGGAGAUGUCUCAUUUCACUGCCAACAAAGGGAUUGACUGGUCCUUCAAUCCGCCAGGGGCCUCACACUACGGUGGAGUAUGGGAGAGACAGAUACGAACUAUUAGAAAGGUACUGCAAGCUGUCCUUAACGAGCAGUAUCUGAGGACAUGCCAGACAGAAGAGCAGCUUCAUACUCUGAUGUGUGAGGUGGAGGCAAUUGUGAAUAGCCGACCACUUACUCGCGUGUCUGAUGACCCAGGGGAUCUUGAAGUGAUAACGCCUAGUAGUCUACUAAACAUGAAGCGAACGUCUACACUGCCUCCAUGCAAAUCUACCAUGGGGGAUAUCUAUGCGAGAAGACGCUGGAAGCAGAUGCAGCAUCUAGCUGAUGACUUUUGGAGAAGGUGGAUACGGGAGUAUCUUCCUAGCCUACAACAACGUCAGCGGUGGGAGCAGCCUGAGCGCAAUCUUGAUGUUGGAGACGUGGUGCUAAUCGCUGAUGGAACUUUACCCAGAUGUUGCUGGUUGAUGGGUCGCGUGUGUGAGAUUCAUCCAGAUAAGCAUGGACGCGUACGAAGUGCUAAGGUAAAGACUGCGACGUCGAUGCUAACCAGGCCUAUCACAAAACUUUGUUUAUUGCUUGAGCAAGAAGAAUCGCGAUAAAGGAAAGACAAGUUGAUUAGGUGUUUUGAUAGGGUUCGCGGAAUCUUUUAAUUUUUUUAUAAAUUAAUAACAGGUUACUUUAAUUGAGAAAGCGGAUAAACACUGAUAAUAUCGCGUACAUUACAUUUAAAGGAGCAAGACAACCUUUGGACAGCAACAAUGGACAGCUUCGAUAGGAUAGCGUGUUUUGUUUAAAUUAGGAUUUACAUCUUAGUGAUAAUUUGAUAAGAGAUAGCCGAUUAUUAAAUGAAACGAGCCCGAUGAGCAGCAAAAGGAUAGACAUUGGACUUUCAUUGAAGGAACAUUAUUGAUAUGAAAUGGUGCUUUAUGAAGCUAUGAACUUUUUUCAUCUUGUGACUAUGGACUUCGUCUUAAUAAGCACCUACUUUAUGAAGCGUCAUGGACUUCUCAUCUCGAGAUUUGGACUCAGUUUGAGCAUUCAUUGUGUCUUGCUAUUUCAGAGAUGCCACUCUUCAGGAAAUUUCCUUAUUUCAGGAAUUUUUGCUCAGAUCAUUUGUACAAAGGCAUAGGCAAAAGUCAAUUUUCAGGAAAUUUCAUCACCAAGUGGCUUCUUUGCUAUUUGUAUUUGCUUGUGCUCACUAACCACAUUUCCUCUUCCACAGGUACUCUUGGGGACGAUAUGUGAAUGUUUGUAUAAAGGAGACUUAGUUGUUAUAUCGUUUUGAGAUAGAAGGUGAACAGGGAUUGUAAACUGGCUUGUUUACUUCUAUAAUUUUGGUUCAGUUUGAACUUGUGAACCCGUCAUAAAUUUUAUAUCAUCAAGGAAUGAAAGAUUUUUUCACACUGUGUGCAAAAUUAGAAAUUUGUCAAGGAUAUAUUUUAUUGUUUAAUUUGUUUCAAAAUGGAAACAAACAUUGAGGUAAAUUGCAAUCCAGUUUACAGUUGCAUGUUCCUUAUAUUGUGAUUUCAGUAUUUGAUAUGUCUUCAGGUGAUUAAUUAAUGCAAGUUACAUGUUAUUCACGGCAGAUCAAUGGUUUUGUCAUUUAUGCUGUGUUACCAUAGCAACCUUGGAACAUUUGAGAUAUUUCUGUGAAAACAAUUUAGGAAAUGCCUUAUGAAGUCAAGGAGGAAUAUUAAGUUUGGUAAAUUAAGAAUUGUCUGUAAUUUAAGGGGCCGGAAUGUAGAUCUCAUUAUGACGUCAGAAGCGAGACUUUGGAUUCGUUAGGAAUUUAUGUCGUAGAGGGCAGCAUGGAAAUCUGCGGAGCUACAAACUAACGUGAAAUUUGUUAUGUUUUUAUAUGGAAUCCCGAUUGCUAAUUGUUAUUUUUGAGACAGCCCAAUGUUGUUGAACGGUCGUCAGUUACACCAGUUUCACAAAAGGGUGCACUAUGUCAUUUGUCAGCAAUCGGGGUUUGCAGUUAAGAUAACCGUCACCACAUUCUUGA
RNAcentral lists this unclassified non-coding RNA (7244 nucleotides) under Lytechinus variegatus (green sea urchin). RNAcentral describes it as "uncharacterized LOC121418136, transcript variant X1". Lineage: Eukaryota; Metazoa; Echinodermata; Echinoidea; Temnopleuroida; Toxopneustidae. The record is from RNAcentral.